CAGUCGCCGCGGGAAUACGGAGGGUGCAAGCGUUAAUCGGAAUUACUGGGCGUAAAGCGCACGCAGGCGGUCUGACAAGUCAGAUGUGAAAUCCCCGGGCUUAACCUGGGAACUGCAUUUGAAACUGUCAGGCUGGAGUCUUGUAGAGGGGGGUGGAAUUCCAGGUGUAGCGGUGAAAUGCGUAGAGAUCUGGAGGAAUACCGGUGGCGAAGGCGGCCCCCUGGACAAAGACUGACGCUCAGGUGCGAAAGCGUGGGGAGCAAACAGGAUUAGAUACCCUUGUAGUCCCUGUCUCUUAUAC
This 301-nucleotide ribosomal RNA is filed under the name uncultured bacterium. Its description in RNAcentral is "partial 16S ribosomal RNA". It matches the Rfam family "Bacterial small subunit ribosomal RNA", at positions 509 to 807 of the family's 1533-position model. The record is from RNAcentral.